This is a long non-coding RNA of Aquila chrysaetos chrysaetos, 649 nucleotides long. RefSeq lists it as uncharacterized. The transcript is spliced from 3 exons. The record is from RefSeq and is a predicted model, not a curated record. NCBI's taxonomy places the organism in Eukaryota, Metazoa, Chordata, Aves, Accipitriformes, Accipitridae.
GCUGAAGCAAGAAAGAUUUAGUUACCAUUCUGUCAGAUUACAGUGAGGGCUGCAGUCCUGAUCACCCACGGUCAAAGCAAAGACUCCCCCCCAGGGCAUUCUUCCUCUGUCAUAACCUGUUUGGCCUUUCUCGUGCCUUAGCAUUCUCCCCACAGCCUUGACUGGCUACAGCCUUGGCCUUUGCUGCUUCUCCUCCCUGGGUAGUACAUGGACUUCAUGACUCCACCUCUCCAAUGCCACCAUUUCCCUCCACAUACAGAAGUUUGUGGAACAACAGAAGGAAUCAUAAAACAGAUGGGGAAUAUUCAUUCACUGACUUGUCUGGAAGACUCCUGGAACUCUGUGCUGCUAAAGGUAUUCAAAUGUAUGUAUAUAUUUAUAUAUCUUACCAGUAUCUCUGCCUCUGGUUGAAACCAACCGCCACAAAAACAGUGGUAGAAAUGGAAAAUAAUGUCAACGGAACUUUUUGUAGCCUCCAAGAAAAGAUUCAGAUUCGUUUUGAGCAAAGGAACUCGGGUUGUUUCUUUAAGACUUCCUGUGAAAGUCUAUCUGCUACAUUAUGACUAAAGCUUGGAGGAGCAUCCUUUACCCACCAGAGGCUGGCACCAGAAAGCCUCAGGUACUGGGAGGCAAUCCACCUACCUGUAAC